Molecule: unclassified non-coding RNA, 1145 nt
Filed under: Leishmania donovani
Lineage: Eukaryota; Euglenozoa; Kinetoplastea; Trypanosomatida; Trypanosomatidae
Description: gene:LdHU3.25.3020(CDS-product:Arv1-like_family_p utative)
Source: RNAcentral
AAGCGUAUAGAAGCAUCGCGGCAGAGGCCCUUCGCCCUCUCUCCAUCCGUGUGUCUUCGGCUGUUUCGCCAGGUUUAACUUCAGUGGUGCGGCCUCUUUUCCUCCUGCUCCUCUUUCCGUGCGUGUGGUUCCUCCGGAGAUGCCGGUGUGCAUCGAGUGUGGACACGGUGUUCCGCGCAUCAUCAAGCCGGACACCGAAACAGUGGAGCGGUGCGGAGAGUGCGGGCACAUCUGCGAUAUCUGCUACGAAUUCGGUGAUGUACAGAUUUGGAUUGAUGUGGUUCUGCUGCGCCACCGGGCGUGGGCGCAUGUUCUCUUCAACCAGACUGACUACUACACAAAACUCGUCAUCUUCGUGCUCUGCUGCGUGGUGGAGGCGGUCGUGGUGCACAGCCUCACCGUGCUUAAGGCCAUUCCCUUCUUCACGGAUGACCUCGAGAAUAGUUCCCUCUAUACCCCAGAGCGCCAGGUGCGAUCGCUGCAGCUCGUGCGCAUAAUUCAGAGCUCCUUUCUGCCGCUGAUGAACUACCCAUCAGCAAUUCCCCACCUCUUCAUCUUUACCUUCACAGAAAAUGCGCUUGUUGCCUCUAUCGCCACGUGGCUCGGCCGCUUUUUCUACCGCAGCUACGGCCACAGAGAACACCUGUGGUUCGUGGAGGCAGCCUUGGCCUCCUACGCAAAGCUGAGCUACGUCCUGUUUCUCAUCUGGGCCAUUCCACCGUCGAUGCUCCCUAUGGUCGACUUUGUGUACGUUCUGUGGCUAGGAUGCGCCUUCACGGUGCUGGGGUUCGAUCGCCAUUGGAUGUACCCCGUAGCAGCCGUCCUCAUCUGCGUCUGUGCUCGCGCGCUGUUUCGCUACCUCACAAAGUGGAGCCCUCAGGUGCUCUGCUAGCUGCGGUGUCCCUCUGCCACGUGGCUUCGGCUUUGUUUCUAUGCCUUCUUUCGCCGUCUAUGCCUAUGGCGGCAAGAUGGAGAGCUUGGGUGCUGCUUCUGCUGGCGCUGCUGUGACUAUGGUUGGCACGCCGACUCGCUUCUCUUGUUCUCUUUCGCUCCUUCACCGUUGUUCCCCCCACCUGGCGCUCGCCUUCCACGCUCUUUCUCCUCUCCGAAAAAAAAAACGCAGGAGAGGAGAUGUCUGCCCAACA